This 440-nucleotide ribosomal RNA is filed under the name uncultured bacterium. Its description in RNAcentral is "partial 16S ribosomal RNA". It matches the Rfam family "Bacterial small subunit ribosomal RNA", at positions 338 to 795 of the family's 1533-position model. The record is from RNAcentral.
CCUACGGGAGGCAGCAGUGGGGAAUAUUGCACAAUGGGGGAAACCCUGAUGCAGCGACGCCGCGUGAGUGAAGAAGUAAUUCGUUAUGUAAAGCUCUAUCAGCAGGGAAGAAAAUGACGGUACCUGAGUAAGAAGCCCCGGCUAACUACGUGCCAGCAGCCGCGGUAAUACGUAGGGGGCAAGCGUUAUCCGGAUUUACUGGGUGUAAAGGGAGCGUAGACGGCAGUGCAAGUCUGGAGUGAAAGGCGGGGGCUCAACCCCCGGACUGCUCUGGAAACUGUACGGCUGGAGUGCAGGAGAGGUAAGUGGAAUUCCUAGUGUAGCGGUGAAAUGCGGAGAUAUUAGGAGGAACACCAGUGGCGAAGGCGGCUUACUGGACUGUAACUGACGUUGAGGCUCGAAAGCGUGGGGAGCAAACAGGAUUAGAUACCCCAGAAGUC